RNAcentral lists this ribosomal RNA (646 nucleotides) under bacterium 25BL. Its description in RNAcentral is "bacterial SSU rRNA". It matches the Rfam family "Bacterial small subunit ribosomal RNA", at positions 66 to 705 of the family's 1533-position model. The record is from RNAcentral.
GCGCGCAGUAGAGCUUGCUCUCUUGGCGGCGAGUGGCGGACGGGUGAGUAAUAUAUCGGAACGUGCCCAGUAGCGGGGGAUAACUACUCGAAAGAGUGGCUAAUACCGCAUACGCCCUACGGGGGAAAGGGGGGGAUCGCAAGACCUCUCACUAUUGGAGCGGCCGAUAUCGGAUUAGCUAGUUGGUGGGGUAAAGGCUCACCAAGGCAACGAUCCGUAGCUGGUUUGAGAGGACGACCAGCCACACUGGGACUGAGACACGGCCCAGACUCCUACGGGAGGCAGCAGUGGGGAAUUUUGGACAAUGGGGGAAACCCUGAUCCAGCCAUCCCGCGUGUAUGAUGAAGGCCUUCGGGUUGUAAAGUACUUUUGGCAGAGAAGAAAAGGUACCUCCUAAUACGAGGUACUGCUGACGGUAUCUGCAGAAUAAGCACCGGCUAACUACGUGCCAGCAGCCGCGGUAAUACGUAGGGUGCAAGCGUUAAUCGGAAUUACUGGGCGUAAAGCGUGUGUAGGCGGUUCGGAAAGAAAGAUGUGAAAUCCCAGGGCUCAACCUUGGAACUGCAUUUUUAACUGCCGAGCUAGAGUAUGUCAGAGGGGGGUAGAAUUCCACGUGUAGCAGUGAAAUGCGUAGAUAUGUGGAGGA